AGAGAUGUGUGAUGACGCAUAUCAAUAAGCGGAGGAAAAGAAACUAACAAGGAUUCCCUUAGUAACGGCGAGUGAAGCGGGGGAAGAGCUCAAAUUUGAAAUCUUCAAGGUUCUACCUUGACGAAUUGUAGUUUAUAGAAGUGUUUUCUGUUAGUAGAGUGGCAAAAGUUCUUUGGAAUAGGACAUCAUAGAGGGUGAGAAUCCCGUAUUUGACCGUUACUUUCCAGCUGUGUGAUACACUUUCAAAGAGUCGGAUUGUUUGGGAAUGCAGUCCAAAAUGGGUGGUAAAUUUCAUCUAAAGCUAAAUAUUGGCGAGAGACCGAUAGCGAACAAGUACCGUGAGGGAAAGAUGAAAAGAACUUUGAAAAGAGAGUUAAACAGUACGUGAAAUUGUCAAAAGGGAAGCGUUUGACACCAGUGUUGUUUUUUCCGAAAAUCAAUUACGAAUGUUUUGUUUUUAAGGAGUUAUGACUUCAUCGGCUUGCUUCUUUCUUUACGAAACUUUCUUAAUGCACUUUUCGGUUAACAAGUCAACAUCAAUUUCUUUUGUUGUAAAAGGGUAUGAGGAAGGUGGCUUUCUUUUCGGAGAAAGUGUUUAUAGCCUUGUACCUCUGCAAUCGGAGAGAUUGAGGUCUGCAGCGUAGAUCCUUCGGGGUUAGAUACAUUUGUGCUAAGUUAUAGCUUUUCAUAGACAACUUGUUGACUAUGUUUAGUCUUGUAGCUUACUCGCUUAUGCUAUUUUACCUACGCUUAGGAUGUUGACAGCAGUAUAGACUGU
RNAcentral lists this ribosomal RNA (778 nucleotides) under uncultured Neocallimastigales. Its description in RNAcentral is "partial large subunit ribosomal RNA". It matches the Rfam family "Eukaryotic large subunit ribosomal RNA", at positions 23 to 640 of the family's 3401-position model. Lineage: Eukaryota; Fungi; Neocallimastigomycota; Neocallimastigomycetes; Neocallimastigales. The record is from RNAcentral.